UUUGGGUUAGAUGGAAAAGGAUUGCAGAAGAAGAAGCCUCUUGCACAAGUAGCUGGGUUUUGUUGACUUUAAAUCUUCUGGGAAAAACAUGUCAAGUCAUUUUGAAUUGCUCCUUUGGCUCUUAUUGCCUUCACACUGAUUAAUGAUGAUUAUGACAUCUGAAGUUAAGUUGCAGAGGGCCAAGACUCCCACUUAAAAUCUGUCACUAUUCGGAACCUGUUCUUGAGCAUCACAUUGACGAAGUGAUCGAAGUUGAACCAUUGUAUUGAAAUCUACUCCAUUCAGAUUAUCUGAAAUAGGCGCUUUGUUAAAGAGUUGUGAAAGCUGCACCCACUAUCGCAGCUACAAAGAAUCAAAACAUUAUAGCUUGCAGGAUUCUCUACAACUCUCUAGUACUUCGAAUCUAUCAGCUAUUGGUGCAGAACCCAAUUUAAUAGUCUGAAAUAGGUGCUUUGUAAAAGAAGUGUGAAAGAAGCAGAACUUUCUAGCAAUCAAGAUUCCUCACAACUCUCUUGGAUUCGCCUGAUGAUGAAAAUGGAAGCAAAGAAAAUUUGACAGACAUGUUUGUUAUAUCCUCUAAAUCUGAAGCCGGCUUAAACAUCAUAUUUUGAGUCUGAAAGUGUCCAAAAAAGUCUGUUCAGAAAUUUAAUGAUCUUGUGAGUACCUUCUGAAUGUAUAUGGCUAGCUUGCAUUUGUGCUAAUCAAACAUAUUGGUCAUUGUAGUCUUAUCCUUUAUUUCAGCUAAAUGAAAUUAGAUUUUAUGCUUC
Molecule: long non-coding RNA, 767 nt
Organism: Chenopodium quinoa (quinoa)
Lineage: Eukaryota; Viridiplantae; Streptophyta; Magnoliopsida; Caryophyllales; Amaranthaceae
Exons: 5
Source: RefSeq, a predicted model, not a curated record